UGUGUGUGUGUGUAUGCAAAUAGAAGAGGGGUCUGUAUCAUCAGAUGUUGCUAAAGUUCUUAGAGAUUCUCUGUGUGGGUUUCUAUGGAAACAUGAGAGGCUGUCUCAGAAACAAAUGGCAGGAUGCUAGAGAAAAGGGCACAGAUAGUCACAUUUAAUAUCAUUUUAUAAUCUGGCUAUUUUUGCACAUUGUGAAGACAAGCAGCCUAAAAGAGUGAUUAAAAUACUCAGAAAUAUUUAAGAUUUUAACAGAAAAAAGAGAAAAUUGGUCAUCCUGCCUUUGUUUUAGGCAGCUUUCACAAAAUAUAGAGGUUAUUUCCAAGAUCCUUUCUUUGAUUUCUUACUUUACUUCUGCUUGUGUACCAACCGAUUCUUGUUAAAUAUUUAUGGACAAGAUUAAAGACUUUAUAAAACUCAGCAGCUGGCAACUGUCCUCGCCUAAAGGAUAAAGCAGAGAGUCUUCAUUUUAAUUGGGUAACUAUGUGACUGAAAUAUCUAACCCCCAAGGGAAAUACAAGAGUUAAAAUAUGUAAAGCAAUUUUUAAAAGAGAAAAUCGCUCUCUACAUUUUAUAGUUUUUAUUUCCUUUGGUAGUUGCGUGUGAAGGUGAAAUUACAGUGUUGUCUUUUAUAGCGUCCUAAGGUUGGAGGCACAUUUCAAUGUUUCCGAAUGCCUCCUAAUAACAUCCAGGUAGACAGCACAUCAUUCUGCUCUGUGUUGUGACACAAAAUUGCUCAUCAUAUUUCACUUCUGAGAAUCUUUCACCCAUCUGUCUCGUGACCAAGUUAUAAAACGACAGAGUAAACUUAAAACUGCAGAGAGCGGGGGAAUCUGUUAAACUGACUAUUGGACAGACAUUGAAUGCAACAAACAAAAGUUGAAGAAAUAGGGGUUUCUCCAAUUUUGAUCCAAUAAUUACCUGACAUUUAACAGCUAUAUUGUUAGCGUUGAGCCUGUGAUGUUGGUCUUGAGAGACUCAGCUGAUCUUGAACAAAUCAACUUUCUCUCCAUGGGUGUGAUCCUCAACCAGAACAUCUAGGUCUUGGACAAGAUGUCUCCUGAGAUUCCCUUAAGGGCUAAGUGUCCUUUAAGGCCUAAGUAUCUAAGUCAGGGUCAACAAAGCAAAGUAUCAUGAACCAAUUCCCAUUUACUGCCUGUUUUUAUACAGCCUUGUGAGCUAAGAACAUUUUUUACAUUUUUAAAUAGUUGGGGAAAAAAUAAAAAAUAUAUAUUUUCUGAUAUGUACAAAUUAUAUAAAAUUCAAAUUUAAGUGUCCACAAAUAAAGUUUUAUUGCAACACAAGGAAGCUCAUUUGUUUAUGUGUUGUCUGUGGUUGUUUUUACACUACGGUGGUAUAGUCAAGUGCUUAUGACAGAGACUGUAUGGCCCUCAAGCCUAAAAUAUUUACUAUCUGAACUUUUACUGAAGAAAGUUGCCAAUCUCUAUCUAAACGAUUCUGAAUCAACUUAAAAGAGUCAGUCAAGUCAUCUUUUUUGUUUGUUUAUUUGAAUGGUAACUUUCUUAAUAGUAAUAUUGAUUGUAUUUGAAAAAAAUCUUUGUUAAAUUUUUGCUCUAUUAUUAAAGAAGGAAGAUGUAGUUUUCUUCCAGCAAAUCAGAUUUGCUGGAACCACUUUCUCUGAUAAUUUUUCCUUUCUCAGCUUCACAUGUGUAGAGUUAGGUGCAUUCCUCGAGGAAUGAGAAAGGCGGGUAAUGUAACGUACAGACCAAAGAUUUUGAGUUUCAUUUCCUGUAAUUAACUUGAGAUGAGUUCUCCCAUAAUUCUAGGUCUCAAACCCAGGUCCUGGGAAGAAACUUCUGCCUGGCUAAAAUGCAGAGAAACCCAUUAUUAGCAGAACAACUGGAGAAUGAACACUUUCCAACCCCCUGCUUUGUGCCAGCGUCAGUGGUAGGCGUUUGCAGGCAGUUUUAUUAUUCCUUAUAACAACCUCAUCUCCCAGAAGGGAGAGCCUGAGAUGUAGAGAGGUUAGAGAGCUGGUAAGUGGGGAGGGUGGAUUUGAGCCAACGUCUGUCUGAUUUCAAAGCUCAUGUUCUUACAAAGGCAAUUUAAUAUUUACAAGAACUCUCUCUUCCCAGUAAGGUUGUCACCCAAAGAAACGAAAAAUAAGAUGAGAAGACCGGUACAUUUUGGAUCAAAGCAAGGUCCAGAAGUCUCUCUCAGUCUGUACGGGUGUGUUUCCUGGAGCCAAUGCUGAUAAAGAGUGUUGAUUUGUCACAGGCUGGAGUUCAGUGGUGUGGUCAUGGCUCACUGCAGCCUCAAAUCUCCUGGACUCAGACAUCCUGAAGCUACUUGGGAGUGUGCCUUCCUCUAGUCUUCUUGGCAUACCAACACCAUUAAGUGCUAACAUUUGGAGGAAAACAUCAAGAAGCUUUUUCUAUGCUGAGUACCAGGGGAAUGCAGGACAAGGAGAAGGACAUACUUUCUUCCUUCAGAGAGCUACCAGAGGAGAAAUGACAGUGUCUAUUAGGAACUGGCCUUAGAAUCUCCCAGGUUGAUGGGACUUGCUUAAGUAACAACCUUAGUGGGAAAAUGCCAGUGGAAUUUCAUGAGUAUGACUGGCAGUGCCUGCGAGGAGGAGAACUGCGAGGAGGAGAAGGAUGAGAUACUUUUGGUUAGAUGCAGAAAUAGCAGCUCAGAGAGGCAAGUGACCUGCCCAAGGCCCCAGGAACCAGGUCUAGAGGGACCCUGGUGUGUCUUUGCCUGAGAGAUGGAGCUGUCUGUUACCGGCAUGGCCUGGAGGGGAAGAAGACCGUGGAAGGGAGAGGGCAGGGAGCUGCCUCACCUGCUAACUCUUCUCGAUUGAACCAGCUCUUCGCUUGGGAAUUUGACUGCAAUAUGACUUCUCAGGACACCAGACAUCCUAGCCUUAAAGAGGGCACAGCUACAUCUCCAGCUCCCAGAACAGUGCAUGGUACAGAGUAAGUACUCAGUAAAUACUUGGUGAAUGAAUGAAUGAAUGGAAUGAAUGACCAUCUUGGCAAUGGUAUUAUGAAAGCAUGAGGCUUCAGCCCCCUACAGAGAAGUGGGCUCUCAAUCUGCCCCACCUCUAACACAGAAUGCGUCCCCAAGUCUGGGAGCUGUAGCUUUCAGUCAAACAGGAUAGCAGAGCCCAUCUGUUUCAAUAGAGCUGUUGAUUUGGGUUUCUACUCUGCAUUUACCUUGACUGAUGGUUUGGUUCAAGUUAUGCUUUGUGAGAAAUUCAUUCCCUCCUGGAGUUGCUUCUGCCAACAGAGGGAAGACAAUCAUUUCUUCUUGGCAUGAUUUCCAACUCAAUUUUUUCUGUCUAGGAGAACUCAAUUGCCAUCAUACAACCAUUCCAAAUCUCAUGCUGGUCAAAUCAAAUGCUGCUUUUGUAAUUUAGCCACCCUCCCCUGGCCAUGUUCUAUUCUCCCUAUUUUCUCAGCUUCUCUAUUAUGGAAGAUUGAUUUUCUUUGCUUUCCAGUUAGAUCCUUGAGUCUAUGACUUUGGAAUUCUGGUUAUGGAGCAUUUUAUUUCUUAAU
Long non-coding RNA from Pan troglodytes (chimpanzee), 3518 nucleotides. RefSeq lists it as uncharacterized. The transcript is spliced from 7 exons. The record is from RefSeq and is a predicted model, not a curated record. NCBI's taxonomy places the organism in Eukaryota, Metazoa, Chordata, Mammalia, Primates, Hominidae.